GCAUCUUAAGCUUCUCAUCUUUCUAGUGAGAGCAAUAAUUACCUCUAUUUCGUUCUGCAUUUGAUUGACCAACAGAAUUCCUGCUGUUGCUUUUUAGCAUCUUAGGUUUCCAAUACUGUUUUCAUCAUAGAGGGGAUAAUGUGACUACUUGAAGGCCCUAAUCUGCAGAUUACAAAUAUCAUCCCCAAUCCUUCACCAUGAGUUGCAGUUGGCACAUCUCAAGUUACAGAUGCUCAAUAUCAUUUGAAUAAAAG
This 254-nucleotide unclassified non-coding RNA is filed under the name Hevea brasiliensis (rubber tree). Lineage: Eukaryota; Viridiplantae; Streptophyta; Magnoliopsida; Malpighiales; Euphorbiaceae. The record is from RNAcentral.